UAGGUGAACCUUCGGAAGGAUCAUUA
This 26-nucleotide ribosomal RNA is filed under the name Wickerhamiella sp. 9E1. RNAcentral describes it as "partial small subunit ribosomal RNA". The record is from RNAcentral. Lineage: Eukaryota; Fungi; Ascomycota; Dipodascomycetes; Dipodascales; Trichomonascaceae.